This 508-nucleotide ribosomal RNA is filed under the name Tachypleus gigas (Indo-Pacific horseshoe crab). Its description in RNAcentral is "partial large subunit ribosomal RNA". It matches the Rfam family "Bacterial large subunit ribosomal RNA", at positions 1795 to 2584 of the family's 2925-position model. Lineage: Eukaryota; Metazoa; Arthropoda; Merostomata; Xiphosura; Limulidae. The record is from RNAcentral.
UUCGCCUGUUUUUCAAAAACAUGGUUUUUUGUUUGGAUAAAAAAUCUGGUCUGCCCAAUGAUAGGUAAUUAAAUGGCCGCGGUAUAUUGACCGUGCGAAGGUAGCAUAAUCAUUUGCUUUUUAAUUGAAGGCUAGAAUGAAUGAUUGGACGGAAAAAGUCUGUCUUAAUUUUAAAUUUUAAAUUUUACUUUUUAGUGAAAAGGCUAAAAUUUUAUCAAGGGACGAGAAGACCCUAUUAAGCUUUAUUUUUGUUUGUUUUUUAUUAUGCUUUUCGUUAUAAAAAAUGGAAGGAAUUUUACUGGGGCGGUAGAGAAAGAAGAGAAUCUUUUUUUAGAAAUUAAAACAUUUAUGUAAAUUUUUGAUCCAUUAUUAAUGAUAAGAAGAAGAAGUUACUAUAGGGAUAACAGCGUAAUUUUUUCGGAGAGUUCAUAUCGGCGAAGAAGUUUGCGACCUCGAUGUUGAAUUAAGAAGUCAAUAGGGCGAAGAAGUUCUAAAUGAGGGUCUUCGA